UGCCCGGAAUCCCAGCACUUUGGGAGGCUGAGGUGGGCAGGCACAGAUCCCUUGAGCUCAGGAGUUUGAGAUUAUCCUGGGCGACAUGAUGAA
Nomascus leucogenys (northern white-cheeked gibbon) is the source of this 93-nucleotide long non-coding RNA. RefSeq lists it as uncharacterized. NCBI's taxonomy places the organism in Eukaryota, Metazoa, Chordata, Mammalia, Primates, Hylobatidae. The transcript has 2 exons. The record is from RefSeq and is a predicted model, not a curated record.